ACCUUUUAAGUGCAUGUGCAGAUUUGUUAUGCAAGUAAAUGUGUGCCGUGGUGGUUUGCUGCACAGAUCAUCUCAUCACCCAGGGACUUGCUGGCCACCAAGUCACAUUCAGCACAUGAGCGAGGCAGACUGGAGUGCUAGGAAGUCAUGGCCCAUGGGAGCAGGACUUCUUACCAACAAAACGAGAAGUGGUUCUUCUGUUGGUGGAGCCGCCUAGGGAGUCAGGUUAAAAUAUUUACACAUUUCCAUAACAAGAAAGACCAGAUGUGAAGUAGAACUAAAAAUAUCCUUC
Long non-coding RNA from Symphalangus syndactylus (siamang), 292 nucleotides. RefSeq lists it as uncharacterized. The record is from RefSeq and is a predicted model, not a curated record. NCBI's taxonomy places the organism in Eukaryota, Metazoa, Chordata, Mammalia, Primates, Hylobatidae.